UCAAUAUAUGCACAGACAAGAGGCUGUCACAACGACAGCAAACCAGAUUUAUUAAUAUUUAUUUGUGUCCUGGCAAUAUCACAAGAACCAUUACUGAUGAAUGGUGAAAGUGAAAAUCGUCAAUAUCAAAUUUGACCUCCAUUUUGUCAUCAGUAUCAACAUCUUAAAAUUUGAAAAGCUUAGAUUGAAUGGUUCAUGAGUAAAUGCAACAACGUGAAUUGAAACGCCAUUUCACAAUCUUUCAAGAACCAUAACUCCUGAACGGUAAAAGUAAAAAUCGUCAUUAUUGAACUUGACCUCUAAUUUGCCAUCAGUAACAACAUAUAAAAAUUUCAAAAGCUUUGGUUGAAUGGUUCAUGAGAAAAUGCACGAACACGACUGGAAACACCAUUUUUCAAUCUUUCAAGAACCAUAACUCCUGAACGGUAAAAGUCAAAAUCGUCAUUAUUGAACUUGACCUCUAUUUUGUCAUCAGUAACAACAUAUUAAAAUUUGGGAAGCUUUGGUAAAACAGUUCAUGCAUAAAUGCACGGACACGACUGGAAACACCAUUUUUCAAUCUUUCAAGAACCAUAACUCCUGAACGGUAAAAGUCAAAAUCGCCAUUAUUGAACUUGACCUCCAUUUUGUCAUCAGUAACAACAUAUUAAAAUUUCGGAAGCUUAGGUAGAACAGUUCAUGCGUAAAUGCACGGACACGACUGGAAACUCCAUUUUUCAAUCUUUCAAGAACCAUAACUCCUGAACGGUAAAAGUCAAAAUCGCCAUUAUUGAACUUGACCUUCAUUUAAUUGUCAGUAACAACAUAUUAAAAUUUUAAAAGCUUUGGUUGAACGGUUCAUGAGUUAAUGCACGGACAACAUUUGAUGACGCCCGCCCG
Molecule: long non-coding RNA, 879 nt
Filed under: Mytilus galloprovincialis (Mediterranean mussel)
Lineage: Eukaryota; Metazoa; Mollusca; Bivalvia; Mytilida; Mytilidae
Source: RNAcentral